UUGGCGUUAAAAAUUCUGAAAGGUGAAAAAGAACAAGAAUGGAGAAAUAAAUGGGAGAGAGCAAAUGGAGAAAAUGUGUGAUGUACACGUGUGUAAUGAAUGGGUUACCUGUAUAGCCGGGAAAUACUGUAAUUGAAGCGUUCUCUUUGGCCCGUUAUUGAAUAUUGUUUGUUAAAUUUGGAUUGUCUAUUUGAGAAUUAGGAUAUUUUUUGCAUUUUCAUUUGGGAUGUUGUUUACUACAUUGACUUUUUUCAUACAUUUUUCUUUUUAACUCGACAUAUGGACCAAUUAAAAAUAAUUUAUUUUUGUGGUUAUUAACGACCCCAACCGAGCCGAACUGACUUUCGUGGUUAUGGUGCGAUUAUGGUAUGACCAAAAAAUUGGUGGUUCGUUGAUGGUUUUGGCCGAACCGACCUCGAACCGAACCGUUGCCAUCUCUAGGAUAUUUGUUGCAAUCUUUCGUCUGUAUAACUCAUCUUCUUUGGUGAAACUGAUUCUAAUGGAUAUCCAAAAACGAAGCAUUCAAUGUAUUUGAGAAAAAAAUUCCACAAUUUGGCCUAUAGAAAAAGGUUAAAGUUAGAUUAUCUUAAUACUGUAAAUAUAAAAUUAAAAUAAAUAGAAAAUUAAAUAUUAUAGUAAAUUGUGGAGAUGCUUACCCAUUAUUUUGACAAGGUAGAUAUGGCAUGAUUUCCAACUUCAUAAGUGUAUUUCUAUGCUUCCUUAAACUUGGCUUGUUGGAGAAAAUGUGUGCAAAUACUAAUAAUGAUUCUAUUACAGUCAAUACUGGUAUUGCAUAUGCCCUCAUUUGUUCCGACGUAUGAAUGUUGUGGCUCUAAUCAUAUAUAUGAAAUUUCCAUUUUCGAAAAAUCAACAAAAAAAAGAAAUCAAGUGUUGCCUGGAUAUGCGGAUAGAAUUAAUAAAUAGUUGUAUAUUAUCCACGGACGAGCAGGUACUGGCAAUUUUCCAUUUAUGUACUGUUGUAAUACGUUCAUAUUAGUUGCAGAAUUGUCAAUUCCUUCUUGCAUAUUCAAUUGCCAAUAAACAUAUUCGGUUUUGAAUCUAAGAUCCAUGAUUGCAUAUUCUUUAGACAGUAGGGGAGAAUCAUCCUUAAUAAGCCUCUUCAAUAGCUUUAAUUCUAUAUCAAUAUGCUAAUAAAAUAAAAUAAAAUGUAUAUUAGAUAUAUUAAUAAUGAAAUAAAAUGAAUUAUCAUUACUAAAUUUUACUUAUCACAAUAUUUAUAUCUUUUUUUUAUCUAUUAUAUAUUUUAGCAUCUAUCUUCCAUAGAGAUUACAAGCUUCAUCAUCCCAAUACGUACUGUAUAAGAAAAUUUAAAUUUUUGUUAAAUAAAUAAAAUACAAAUUAUAAUAUUUAGACUAAUAAAGUAAAAUAGGAUCUUUUCUUCAUCUCAAUACAUACUGUAUAAGAAAAUUUAAAUUGGCGUUAAAUGAGUAAAAAACAAAUUAUAAUAUUUAAGCUAACAAAGUAAAAUUGGAUCUCUUGCCCUGAUGGACUUUGUAAUAUCCAAUCUCUAAUGUUUUUGUACUUGUUGGUGUUAUAGUCUUCUAAAGUAUUAGCUGGCUG
RNAcentral lists this long non-coding RNA (1581 nucleotides) under Olea europaea (common olive). RNAcentral describes it as "long non-coding RNA (OEUR_LNC012656)". Lineage: Eukaryota; Viridiplantae; Streptophyta; Magnoliopsida; Lamiales; Oleaceae. The record is from RNAcentral.